UAUAGGCAAGUAGAGGCCUAGGACCAACUUUCCUUGCUCCUCAGUUUGGUCUGGGAACCAGCAGUGUGAGGUCCCUUGGGAGCUUGCUGCAUAGCAACAAAGGGAAAACUUUCUGUUACCCUCUGAAGGCUGGCUGGAAUGAACUAAUGGUAGAUAGAUCCAUAGAAGGAAAGGUGUAUGCAUUCCUUUCCUGUGCCCAGGACAGUCAUGGGAGUGUGAUUACCCAGUAACCCAGGGACAAUUUUGAGGGGUACUAAAUGAUUUUAGGUGAAUGGGAAAGAAUUGGAGGAAUCUAUGUGUCCUUGCUGUAUGAUGGAAAGGCUUUCCCCUUAUCUGUUUCUAAAGUUUAAACUCUAUUUAGAAGAACAAGUGUUCAUGGGGUCUGACGUGUGAGUUUGCUCUGAGUUGGGCUGUCAGCAUUUCCGUGGCCGGAGGGAAUAGAAUGCCCUGAGUUUCUUCCUCCAUUUAUUCUUUGCAGUAAACUUGGAGAGGUAACAUCCCUUUGGGGCUACCAAGUGGUGCCUCCUGGUGGUACAGAGGCUAGGCAGGGUUUGAGUUAACUCUAGAUAUGGAAGAGUAGAACAGGAAGACAUGCUGAGGGAGCUCUGGCACAGUGAGGCCAGAGCAUGGGCAUUAUCUGAGGUGCUAAAAAAUGUACUCUCCUGAGCCCCACCCCACACCUACUGAACCAAAAUAUCCAGGAGUGGAACCCAGGAAUCUUCUUGCCUCUCUAGUUCCUCAGGGAAUUCUUAGGCACACUAAAAAAUAUUGAGUACCAUUGCUAUAGAAUCUAGAGAAUUCAUUGGAACCACAAAGGAGGAAAAGUGACUGUGUUAGUCAGCUUUUUGUUACUGUGACAAAAUACCUGAGAGAAACAGCAGAGGAAAGAUUCAUUUUGGCUCAUGGUUUCAAAUGUUUCAGUCCAUGCUUAGUUGACUCCUUGCUUUGGACAUGAGGCAAGGCAGAAUAUCAUAGUGGAAGGGCGUGGUAGAGGAAAACUGCACACUUCAGCCCUCAGGGCAGCCCUGGAAGCAGAGCUUGCGGGGCUGAGGAUAACAUAUAGUCACCAAGGUCACUCUCCCAAGAACCUCCUCCCUUCAACUAGGUCUUACCUCCUACAGUGUCCAGCACCUUAUGGUAGUCCAUUCAGCUAUGAAUCCAUCAGUAAAUACAUGGAUGAGUUUAGUGCCUUUGUGAUCUCAUCAUUUCCCAAAGGUCCCACCUCUGAAUAUUGUUACAUUGGGGAUCAAGCCCUCAACACAUGAACUUUUGGGGAACAUUCCGGAUCCAACCAUCUCAGAAUGUAGGGCUUUCAGUCCCAGACAUACCAGGGACUCUGCUCACCCUAAGAAGAGGCACACUGUUGGUAAGAAAGUUCAUAGGUCUAAGGAUAUUCAUCCUAUUGUUUUUUAAUCUUGCUUUAUUUUAUUUUAUUUUUUGGAAAAUGGUUUAAGAUACAGAAUUGAACAAAGGAGAAAUAAAAUCAUUCAGGGUCAUCACAUCCAGAAUCAUUCACUACUAACAACUUGGCAUACUUACUUUUGGUCAUUUUUUUAAUUAAAUAAAAAGCAUUGAUUUGUUUUUAUAAAUGCAUAUUUAUUUUAAAGAAUUAUUUAUUUAUUUAUUUUUUUUUUAAAGAGAGUGUGAGAGAGAGAGAGAGAGAGAGAGAGAGAGAGAGAGAGAGAGAAGGACUGAGAGAGAAUUUUUUGAUGUUUAUUUUUUAAUUUUUGGUGGGCACAACAUCUUUGUUUGUAUGUGGUGCUGAGGAUCGAACCCGGGCCGCACGCAUGCCAGGCGAGAGCGCUACUGCUUGAGCCACAUCCCCAGCCCCAUAAAGAAUUAUUUUAGUAUAGAAAAUAUAAAAGUAUUAAAAGGACUUUAGAUCCUCCCUCUAAUUAGAACCUUCUUUAAAUGUGAGUGACCUUAUUCCAGGAAGAUUUUCAUACACAGCAUAUGUGUGCACGGAUGGGUGUGUGGAUGGAGAUGAGUAUGACUGAGUUUGAGUCACAUCUUUUUUCAUGUUGUUGACAUUUUUGAAAUUGUUAUCUAUCUCAUAGUCCAUGACAUCUUUGCAUUGUGUCACAGUUACAAUGGCAGUGAUGUUCCUUUUUUGGAGUGUGACCCACCCACACACACUUCCACUUGCUUGUUUGAUCCAGCCCUCAACAUAAAAUCAUUAUUUUUUACUUCUUUGCAAACCUCAUUAAGAUAUAAUUUACAUAAAAUAAAAUUUUCCAGUUGUAAACAUAUAAUUCCAUGAUGUAUAAUGUAUAUAUAGUCAUGUAGCCUCCACCACAACUAUGAUAGAGUAUUUCUGUCACCUCCGAAGGUUUCUUUGGGCCUCUUUGUAAUAAAAUCCUUUGUGUUGGUAACCACUGAUCUGAUUUCUCCAUAUAUAUUUUCACCUGUUCCAGAGUGUUAUAUAAAUUGAAUUAUAUAGGAUGCAGUUUUUACUACGUGACUUUUUUCAUUUAGCAUAAUGCUUUUUAGAUUCAUCCACAUGUUUCAACAAUCCAUUCCUUUUUAUUGAUGAAUAAUAUUCUAUUUUUAUGGAUGCAACACACUUUGUUUAUACAUGAAUCAGUUGAUGGACAUUUGGGUUGUUUCCAAUUUUCAACUAUUGUGAAUAAAG
Molecule: long non-coding RNA, 2632 nt
Filed under: Marmota monax (woodchuck)
Lineage: Eukaryota; Metazoa; Chordata; Mammalia; Rodentia; Sciuridae
Source: RNAcentral